CCCCGCGUCGCACGGAUUCGU
Molecule: ribosomal RNA, 21 nt
Filed under: Miscanthus sinensis (eulalia)
Lineage: Eukaryota; Viridiplantae; Streptophyta; Magnoliopsida; Poales; Poaceae
Also listed under: 1 other name
Description: partial 25S ribosomal RNA
Source: RNAcentral